GGUGACGAAGGCCGAUCUCUGGGCCGAUACUGACGCUGAGGAGCGAAAGCGUGGGGAGUGAACAGGAUUAGAUACCCUGGUAGUCCACGCCGUAAACGUUGGGAACUAGGUGUGGGCGACAUUCCACGUCGUCCGUGCCGCAGCUAACGCAUUAAGUUCCCCGCCUGGGGAGUACGGCCGCAAGGCUAAAACUCAAAGGAAUUGACGGGGGCCCGCACAAGCAGCGGAGCAUGUGGCUUAAUUCGACGCAACGCGAAGAACCUUACCAAGGCUUGACAUACACCGGAAACGUCUGGAGACAGGCGCCCCCAUGUGGUCGGUGUACAGGUGGUGCAUGGCUGUCGUCAGCUCGCGUCGUGAGAUGUUGGGUUAAGUCCCGCAACGAGCGCAACCCUUGUUCUGUGUUGCCAGCAUGCCCUUCGGGGUGAUGGGGACUCACAGGUGACUGCCGGGGUCAACUCGGAGGAAGGUGGGGACGACGUCAAGUCAUCAUGCCCCUUAUGUCUUGGGCUGCACACGUGCUACAAUGGCCGGUACAAUGAGCUGCGAUACCGAGAGGUGGAGCGAAUCUCAAAAAGCCGGUCUCAGUU
Molecule: ribosomal RNA, 590 nt
Filed under: Streptomyces platensis
Lineage: Bacteria; Bacillati; Actinomycetota; Actinomycetes; Kitasatosporales; Streptomycetaceae
Description: bacterial SSU rRNA
Rfam family: Bacterial small subunit ribosomal RNA
Source: RNAcentral